RNAcentral lists this ribosomal RNA (497 nucleotides) under uncultured bacterium. RNAcentral's name for it is "partial 16S ribosomal RNA". It matches the Rfam family "Bacterial small subunit ribosomal RNA", at positions 28 to 523 of the family's 1533-position model. The record is from RNAcentral.
GAUGAACGCUGGCGGCGUGCUUAACACAUGCAAGUCGAACGAAGCACUUUACUUGAUCUUUUCGGAGUGAUUGUUUUGUGACUGAGUGGCGGACGGGUGAGUAACGCGUGGGUAACCUGCCUCACACAGGGGGAUAACAGUUGGAAACGGCUGCUAAUACCGCAUAAGCGCACAGUACCGCAUGGUACGGUGUGAAAAACUCCGGUGGUGUGAGAUGGACCCGCGUCUGAUUAGCUAGUUGGCAGGGCAGCGGCCGACCAAGGCGACGAUCAGUAGCCGACCUGAGAGGGUGACCGGCCACAUUGGGACUGAGACACGGCCCAAACUCCUACGGGAGGCAGCAGUGGGGAAUAUUGCACAAUGGGGGAAACCCUGAUGCAGCGACGCCGCGUGAGCGAAGAAGUAUUUCGGUACGUAAAGCUCUAUCAGCAGGGAAGAAGAAAUGACGGUACCUGACUAAGAAGCACCGGCUAAAUACGUGCCAGCCGCCGCAGUAA